GAUGAACGCUGGCGGCGUGCCUAAUACAUGCAAGUCGAGCGAACAGACGAGGAGCUUGCUCCUCUGACGUUAGCGGCGGACGGGUGAGUAACGCGUGGAUAACCUACCUAUAAGACUGGGAUAACUUCGGGAAACCGGAGCUAAUACCGGAUAAUAUAUUGAACCGCAUGGUUCAAUAGUGAAAGACGGUUUUGCUGUCACUUAUAGAUGGAUCCGCGCCGCAUUAGCUAGUUGGUAUGGUAACGGCUUACCAAGGCAACGAUGCGUAGCCGACCUGAGAGGGUGAUCGGCCACACUGGAACUGAGACACGGUCCAGACUCCUACGGGAGGCAGCAGUAGGGAAUCUUCCGCAAUGGGCGAAAGCCUGACGGAGCAACGCCGCGUGAGUGAUGAAGGUCUUCGGAUCGUAAAACUCUGUUAUUAGGGAAGAACAAAUGUGUAAGUAACUAUGCACGUCUUGACGGUACCUAAUCAGAAAGCCACGGCUAACUACGUG
This 497-nucleotide ribosomal RNA is filed under the name uncultured bacterium. RNAcentral's name for it is "partial 16S ribosomal RNA". It matches the Rfam family "Bacterial small subunit ribosomal RNA", at positions 28 to 507 of the family's 1533-position model. The record is from RNAcentral.